Molecule: unclassified non-coding RNA, 2235 nt
Filed under: Hevea brasiliensis (rubber tree)
Lineage: Eukaryota; Viridiplantae; Streptophyta; Magnoliopsida; Malpighiales; Euphorbiaceae
Source: RNAcentral
UAUUCAUUUAGAUCACUUGCAUUCAAUUUGUGUUUGUCAUUAUUAUCCAAAUAAUAAAGACCAUCAUUCAUAUAACCCGAGCCAAUAUAUUUAUUUCCAAAAUAAAUAUUGCAAUCAUCACCUGUGAACUGAAAUUCAUAGCCAUUUCUAGUCAAACUAGAUAUAGAAAUGAUGUUCUUAAAAGCAUCAGAUACAUAUAAAAUAUUAUUCAAACACAAAACAUGUCCACACAUGUAAAAAGAUUUAGAUCUUAUGGCUAAAGUUUCAACAGUUGAGUUAUUGCCAAUAGUCUAACAUCUCGAGAAUGCAAGCUGCUACUAUUUGCUAGUUCCUUUCGAAAGUUUAUCCUUCUUGUGCUUUAGAGAAACAAGAUACUCUGGACAAUUCCUUUUCCAAUGCCCAUCCUUCUGACAGUGGAAACACUUUCCUUUGCCUCCAUCAGCUUUAGUCUUCCCUUUCUAUUUAGCUAUUUUCUUGGAAGGACCAGGAAUCUGAGAUUUCUUUUUCUUAUUGCCCUUCUUCUUGUUGGACUUUCCAGUAGAAGAAGAUGCAAUCAAAGCUACCUCUUUUCCUUUAUUGUCCGGUAUAUUCUUUUGGGCAAUAACCAGUAUGUUGAGUAAACCAGCUAAGCUGCAUUCCUGUUUAGUCAUAUGAAAAUUUGUCACAAAAUUCCCAAAAGACUCAGGAAGGGACUGAAGGAUCAAAUCCGUCUGUAGUUGGAAAUCCAUGUUGAAGUCAAGAUGUUCCAACUGCUCAAUCAGCCGAAUCAUCUUGUGGACAUGAUCCCCAACAUUCUGUCCCUCAGACAUCCUCAUACGGAAUAGCUGUCUAGAUAUCUCAUACCUAGCAUUCCUGCUGUGCUCACCAUACAACUCUUGUAGGUGAAGGAGGAUCUCACUCGCACUCUGCAUGUUCUCAUGCUGUUUCUAUAACUCAUUACUCAUGGAAGCAAGCAUGUAACACUUAGCUCUCAUAUCAUGCUCCUUCCACUUAUCCAAAGUUUUAUGUUCCUCUUGAGUGGCCUCUGGAGGUAAGGGACCAGGAACAUUUGAAUCUAGAACAUAUCCUAUAUGUUCAAGGUUCAGGACAAGUUUCAAAUUUCUUAGCCAAUCAGACAGAUUAGGUCCUGUCAACCUAUUGCGAUCAAGUAUGCUUGCAAGGAUAUUGGAUGGUGGUGGUUGUUCUGUGCUCAUUAUUAUCAGAAAAUUAACUGCAGAAAAUAACUAGAUUAAUUAGUAAAUGUAUCAAGUAAUUAACCAAAAUGAUUAUGGUCUUUUAAUCAAAUUGGUCCUCCCACUAACUUAGCGAAUCCUACACUUCCAAAGUAGAAAACGGAAAUCCUAGUUGGAUGGAUUUCUAGUGGGUGAUUGAAUUCUUAUAAUUCUAUUGAUCAUCCUCAGGUACAUCCAUUAUUGGAAUUACAAUAAACUAUAAGUGAGCAACUCCUUGCCCAUCACAUCUCAUGUGAGGUUCAAUCCUUUACCUAGCCCCUAAUGCUCAAAAUCUCAGGUACAUCCAUUAUUGACUUAUCUUGCAUUAGUUAAGUUGAUCCCAUUGAGCCAGUAAUUAUGCAAAUAAUUUUAAUGUCCUCAGGUACAUCCAAUAUUGGCCACCAAACCAUUUACAUAUUUACAACAUCUCAUACUUAACAAUUAUUCUUAAGGAAAUCUCUUAAAUAAAUGCAUCACAUGCAAGUAUCUAAAAUUUCUUAAAAUAAUUACCUCAAUGGAGGGCCAUGAUAUAAUUACUUUAAUUAUACCAUUUCCAACUUAAUCAUUUGUUUGGAAGAUUUAGUGGUCGACUUAAUUAUUAUUAUGGUCUCACUUUGCACAUUAUCCAAUUAGCAUGCAUAUAUCAUAUACUUGCAUACAUUCCCAUACAUCUCAUGCAUUCAUGGAUAAGCAGUAAAUAUGGUAUGAUCAUGGACUUUCUAAGGGAUUCAAUUCUGAGCCACCAAGAAUUGAAUCAGGGCAUUCCUAGGUGCAUUUCAUUCAUUCAUAUUACAAGAGUUGCUGAAGGAGUACAUAAUCAACACUUGAUCUUGAAUUCCUCCCACUGGUCCCACCAAUGCUCUUGACCUCCUUGAUCUUCUUGCAAUCCAAUUACAUAGUAAUCCUUGGCAUACCAAGGCGAAUUUACAAGAACUUAAAUAAAUGAAAUUACAACCCAAAAAUUAUUACAAACUUAAUAAUACAUGCCCAAAAUAAAUUAAAAUAAAUUAAUUAAUUUACAACC